AUUGAACGCUGGCGGAAUGCUUUACACAUGCAAGUCGAGCGGCAGCGCGGGGGCAACCCUGGCGGCGAGCGGCGAACGGGUGAGGAAUACAUCGGAACGUACCCCGGAGUGGGGGAUAACGCCGCGAAAGCGGCGCUAAUACCGCAUAUGCUCUGAGGAGGAAAGUGGGGGACCUGCAAGGGCCUCACGCUCUGGGAGCGGCCGAUGUCCGAUUAGCUAGUUGGUGGGGUAAAGGCCCACCAAGGCGACGAUCGGUAGCUGGUCUGAGAGGAUGAUCAGCCACACUGGGACUGAGACACGGCCCAGACUCCUACGGGAGGCAGCAGUGGGGAAUUUUGGACAAUGGGGGCAACCCUGAUCCAGCCAUGCCGCGUGCGGGAAGAAGGCCUU
This 390-nucleotide ribosomal RNA is filed under the name uncultured bacterium. Its description in RNAcentral is "bacterial SSU rRNA". It matches the Rfam family "Bacterial small subunit ribosomal RNA", at positions 28 to 418 of the family's 1533-position model. The record is from RNAcentral.